AGGGCUAUAGCUCAGUUGGUAGAGCAACUCGUUUACGUAUAAUUUGCAUUUUAUCAUUAGUGUAUUGUUUGUUCUUUGUAACU
RNAcentral lists this transfer RNA (83 nucleotides) under Chrysosplenium biondianum. Its description in RNAcentral is "tRNA-Val". The record is from RNAcentral. Lineage: Eukaryota; Viridiplantae; Streptophyta; Magnoliopsida; Saxifragales; Saxifragaceae.